Molecule: transfer RNA, 73 nt
Filed under: Camelus dromedarius (Arabian camel)
Lineage: Eukaryota; Metazoa; Chordata; Mammalia; Artiodactyla; Camelidae
Also listed under: 1 other name
Rfam family: tRNA
About the family: Transfer RNA (tRNA) molecules are approximately 80 nucleotides in length. Their secondary structure includes four short double-helical elements and three loops (D, anti-codon, and T loops).
Source: Rfam by way of RNAcentral
AAGGGCAUAGCUCAAGUGGCAGAGCGCAUGCUUAGCAUGCAUGAGGCCCUGGGUUCCACCCCUAGUACCUCCU